Molecule: ribosomal RNA, 433 nt
Filed under: uncultured bacterium
Lineage: Bacteria
Description: partial 16S ribosomal RNA
Rfam family: Bacterial small subunit ribosomal RNA
Source: RNAcentral
AACGAACGCUGGCGGCAUGCCUAACACAUGCAAGUCGAACGAGACCUUCGGGUCUAGUGGCGCACGGGUGCGUAACGCGUGGGAACCUGCCCUUAGGUUCGGAAGAACUCCCCGAAAGGGGUGCUAAUACCGGAUAAUGUCUUCGGACCAAAGAUUUAUCGCCUUUGGAUGGGGCGGCAUUGGAUUAGCUGGUUGGUAGGGUAAAAGCCUACCAAGGCGACGAUCCAUAGCUGGUCUGAGAGGAUGAGCAGCCACACUGGGACUGAGACACGGCCCAGACUCCUACGGGAGGCAGCAGUGGGGAAUAUUGGACAGUGGGCGAAAGCCUGAUCCAGCAAUGCCGCGUGAGUGAUGAAGGCCUUAGGGUUGUAAAGCUCUUUUACCCGGGAUGAUAAUGACAGUACCGGGAGAAUAAGCACCGGCUAACUCCGUG